GAUGAACGCUGGCGGCGUGCCUAAUACAUGCAAGUCGAGCGAACAGACGAGGAGCUUGCUCCUCUGACGUUAGCGGCGGACGGGUGAGUAACACGUGGAUAACCUACCUAUAAGACUGGGAUAACUUCGGGAAGCCGGAGCUAAUACCGGAUAAUAUAUUGAACCGCAUGGUUCAAUAGUGAAAGACGGUUUUGCUGUCACUUAUAGAUAGAUCCGCGCCGCAUUAGCUAGUUGGUAAGGUAACGGCUUACCAAGGCGACGAUGCGUAGCCGACCUGAGAGGGUGAUCGGCCACACUGGAACUGAGACACGGUCCAGACUCCUACGGGAGGCAGCAGUAGGGAAUCUUCCGCAAUGGGCGAAAGCCUGACGGAGCAACGCCGCGUGAGUGAUGAAGGUCUUCGGAUCGUAAAACUCUGUUAUUAGGGAAGAACAAAUGUGUAAGUAACUAUGCACGUCUUGACGGUACCUAAUCAGAAAGCCACGGCUAACUACGUG
Molecule: ribosomal RNA, 497 nt
Filed under: uncultured bacterium
Lineage: Bacteria
Description: partial 16S ribosomal RNA
Rfam family: Bacterial small subunit ribosomal RNA
Source: RNAcentral